Nematostella vectensis (starlet sea anemone) is the source of this 596-nucleotide long non-coding RNA. RefSeq lists it as uncharacterized. The transcript has 2 exons. The record is from RefSeq and is a predicted model, not a curated record. NCBI's taxonomy places the organism in Eukaryota, Metazoa, Cnidaria, Anthozoa, Actiniaria, Edwardsiidae.
CGAAAUCAUAACGGUCGAACGAAAGCCAUUAUCACAGCCUCCAAACGGAUAGCUGUUUAUUCCCGUCUUUUCUACGCGUAAUUCACCUUUUUUAAGGAUUUGAUGGCAGAAAAUGGAUUGAAGUAAAAGGACAUUAUGAUAGAGAUAGUAAAAUGUGCUCGAGUUGCAAAGCCAGAAAAGAAAGAAGUUUGAGGUAUAAGGAAUGUAUCAAGGCGUAAAGUUAUUCACUAAUCACUGUACUUACAUCUAAAGCGCCUAUGAUUUAUAAACUGUUACUUGAAGCACAAAAUUGAAUAACUUAGCUUAGUAAAAACCUAGUAAUCAGUCUUGCACCUAAAAUUUGUCCAGAUAUUUAUUUUAAAUAUCUAAUGUUACUGUAGUUGGUUUUUGUAUUCUGAUCACAGUAAACCCUGCAUAUGAAGAACCUAGUUAUCUUUUCAAGCUAGCCUACCAGGUUCAAAUUUAAAUGGUGCAUAUAGAGGCAUUAGGCUUCUAGCUUCUUAUCUGAAUAUACAAAGAUGGAGGAGGAGGCAGUUCUUUUGGAAAACCGUAAUGACGCCAAAAAGGGUAAUGUUUAAAAGUUGUUAAAGUUGUUA